Molecule: long non-coding RNA, 201 nt
Filed under: Zostera marina
Lineage: Eukaryota; Viridiplantae; Streptophyta; Magnoliopsida; Alismatales; Zosteraceae
Description: long non-coding RNA (ZMAR_LNC000478)
Source: RNAcentral
GAGCUCCUUUGGUAGCCUCCCCGACCUCCUCUUCUUCCAGAAAAUGGAGCACCCCCAUUAUUGUUGCCGCUAAUCAUUCCUAUCCGGCCAGAUUUUCCAUCCGACCGGCCAGCCUUGCUCCCACCGACCACCAUCCAUUCUGGACCUUCAUCAACCUCCAUGGAGGUCUCCCCCAUAGCCUGCAAAACAAUAGGUGUUGGA